GUGAUUGCUUUGGCGCACAUAUACUAAAAAUUGGAAUGAUGCAGAGAAGAUUCAGCGGUGGUGCCUGUGCAGAGGAUGACAUGCAAAUUUUGAAGAUACACAACACGGUGUG
RNAcentral lists this small nuclear RNA (112 nucleotides) under Macaca nemestrina (pig-tailed macaque). Lineage: Eukaryota; Metazoa; Chordata; Mammalia; Primates; Cercopithecidae. The record is from RNAcentral.